RNAcentral lists this unclassified non-coding RNA (310 nucleotides) under Hevea brasiliensis (rubber tree). Lineage: Eukaryota; Viridiplantae; Streptophyta; Magnoliopsida; Malpighiales; Euphorbiaceae. The record is from RNAcentral.
GCCGGAGAGUUGAUUCUUAUAAAGAUGAAGAAGGGUGAGGCUUGUCAAGCCACCUAGUGACGCUGGAAUUGGGCCAGAAAGAUUGUUUCCGAAAAGGCUUAGCCAGUUGAGAGACUUCAAGUUUCCAAUUUCUGGGGGAAUAGAACCAGAAAGUUGAUUUUGGUACAUGAACAACUUAGUUAAUUUUGUCAAGUUCCCAAAAGUGAAAGGGAUAGGACCUUCGAGGCUGUUGGUAUCAAUGAAAAGUUCAACCAAAUUAGAGAGUUUUCCCAUUUCUGGUGGAAUAGUACCAAAAAAUUGGUUCUCAUAG